Long non-coding RNA from Rhinichthys klamathensis goyatoka, 675 nucleotides. RefSeq lists it as uncharacterized. NCBI's taxonomy places the organism in Eukaryota, Metazoa, Chordata, Actinopteri, Cypriniformes, Leuciscidae. The transcript is spliced from 4 exons. The record is from RefSeq and is a predicted model, not a curated record.
CAGCGUUCUCAAUGUGCACGCGUUCAGCCAAUAGGAGCGGCUCCCUGCUGAUGACGCGACGCAGCGGCUCUGGUCUCUUCCCACUGCGCAGGAAGCGAGACGCGCAAAGGAAUCAGAAGUUAAACGCAAAGGUAACGCGGCGCUCUCUCAACAGAAGCAGCAGCAGUUUUUACUGUAACCGCUCGGAGUUUCCCCACGAACGCAAGAGGAACCCGGCGUCUAGAGCAGAAUGAAUGGUUAUCAAGGCGCCAGAAACAGAGCGAGGGAAGCUGUUAGAAGAUGCAAUGCUGGGAAGUCUUUUAAACCCUGGUUCUUCUGGUGACUUGGCAGAGCUCAACCAUGGAAGUCAGACUGUUGCAGGCCGAAGACGACCGAUAAAGGUCCAGACAUGAAGGAGACCGCGUCUUGUCUGUGGCAUCUCACAAUGAGAAGAGCUUUCAGCGUGUCGCGAGUUUCCAAAGUUGGUACAACAGAUACACUGGAUGAAGUCGGAGGCCAAAUCCCUCCUGGGCGGCUGACCCUCUCCUGCACCACGGUAAAGGGUGAGCGUCGAUGUUCGGGUGGCAAAGGCAAACGGGUGGACAAUUUGUCUUCGGCCUUAAAGGUGCACUCAGGAAUGUUUCCGUGUUAAAAGUUUACAGAACCAGAAAUAGCACUAAACAAAAGUAAAUGUGA